Molecule: ribosomal RNA, 497 nt
Filed under: uncultured bacterium
Lineage: Bacteria
Description: partial 16S ribosomal RNA
Rfam family: Bacterial small subunit ribosomal RNA
Source: RNAcentral
GAUGAACGCUGGCGGCGUGCCUAAUACAUGCAAGUCGAGCGAACAGAUGAGGAGCUUGCUCCUCUGACGUUAGCGGCGGACGGGUGAGUAACACGUGGAUAACCUACCUAUAAGACUGGGAUAACUUCGGGAAACCGGAGCUAAUACCGGAUAAUAUAUUGAACCGCAUGGUUCAAUAGUGAAAGACGGUUUUGCUGUCACUUAUAGAUGGAUCCGCGCCGCAUUAGCUAGUUGGUAAGGUAACGGCUUACCAAGGCAACGAUGCGUAGCCGACCUGAGAGGGUGAUCGGCCACACUGGAACUGAGAAACGGUCCAGACUCCUACGGGAGGCAGCAGUAGGGAAUCUUCCGCAAUGGGCGAAAGCCUGACGGAGCAACGCCGCGUGAGUGAUGAAGGUCUUCGGAUCGUAAAACUCUGUUAUUAGGGAAGAACAAAUGUGUAAGUAACUAUGCACGUCUUGACGGUACCUAAUCAGAAAGCCACGGCUAACUACGUG